UUGAUUUAUUUGUUUGUGUCACUCAGAUAAUGCCGCUAUAACACACAAUGGUUUGGGGUCCUCCGGCGGGCGCCUUGGUCCGGGCCGCGAGGGCGCCGGGGCGUGUCCGCCGAAGCAACGAUAGGUAUGGUUCACAGGGGUUUGGGAGUUGUAAACUCGGUAAUGAUCCCUCCGCUGGUUCACCAACGGAGA
This 192-nucleotide unclassified non-coding RNA is filed under the name uncultured fungus. RNAcentral describes it as "sequence contains ITS1". Lineage: Eukaryota; Fungi. The record is from RNAcentral.